This 258-nucleotide ribosomal RNA is filed under the name uncultured bacterium. Its description in RNAcentral is "partial 16S ribosomal RNA". It matches the Rfam family "Bacterial small subunit ribosomal RNA", at positions 793 to 1055 of the family's 1533-position model. The record is from RNAcentral.
GUCCAUGCCGUAACGAUGUCUACUAGCCAUUGGGCCUUUGAGGCUUUAGUGGCGCAGCUAACGCGAUAAGUAGACCGCCUGGGAGUACGGUCGCAAGACUAAACUCAAAUGAAUUGACGGGGCCCGCACAAGCGGUGGAGCAUGUGGUUUAAUUCGAUGCAACGCGAAGAACCUUACCUGGUCUUGACAUAGUAAGAACUUUUCAGAGAUGGAUUGGUGCCUUCGGGAACUUACAUACAGGUGCUGCAUGGCUGUCGU